This 497-nucleotide ribosomal RNA is filed under the name uncultured bacterium. RNAcentral describes it as "partial 16S ribosomal RNA". It matches the Rfam family "Bacterial small subunit ribosomal RNA", at positions 28 to 507 of the family's 1533-position model. The record is from RNAcentral.
GACGAACGCUGGCGGCGUGCCUAAUACAUGCAAGUAGAACGCUGAAGGAAGGAGCUUGCUCUUUCUGGAUGAGUUGCGAACGGGUGAGUAACGCGUAGGUAACCUGCCUGGUAGCGGGGGAUAACUAUUGGAAACGAUAGCUAAUACCGCAUAAAAUUGAUUAUUGCAUGAUAGUCAAUUAAAAGGUGCAACUGCACCACUACCAGAUGGACCUGCGUUGUAUUAGCUAGUUGGUGGGGUAACGGCUCACCAAGGCGACGAUACAUAGCCGACCUGAGAGGGUGGUCGGCCACACUGGGACUGAGACACGGCCCAGACUCCUACGGGAGGCAGCAGUAGGGAAUCUUCGGCAAUGGACGGAAGUCUGACCGAGCAACGCCGCGUGAGUGAAGAAGGGUUUCGGAUCGUAAAGCUCUGUUGUAAGAGAAGAACGAGUGUGAGAGUGGAAAGUUCACACUGUGACGGUAUCUUACCAGAAAGGGACGGCUAACUACGUG